UCAAGUUAUUAAGGGUGCAGGGCGGAUGCCUUGGCACUAGGAGCCGAUGAAGGACGUGAUAAGCUGCGAUAAGCUUCGGGGAGUUGCACGUAAACUUUGAUCCGAAGAUUUCCGAAUGAGGAAACUCACUUAGAGUAAUGUCUAAGUAUCGUUAAGUGAAUACAUAGCUUAGCGAGGGGAACCCGGGGAACUGAAACAUCUAAGUACCCGGAGGAAGAGAAAGAAAUUCGAUUCCGUAAGUAGCGGCGAGCGAACGCGGAACAGGCCAAACCAAUGAAGUUUACUUCGUUGGGGUUGCGGACAUACAACAUGGAUGCAAUAUCGUAAAUGAAGAGAGUUGGAAAGCUCCGCCAUAGAAGGUAAUAGCCCUGUAGUUGAAACGAGAAAGCUACUAGUAUGAUCCAGAGUACCACGGGACACGUGAAACCCUGUGGGAAGCAGGAGGGACCAUCCUCCAAGCCUAAAUACUACCUAGUGACCGAUAGCGCAUAGUACCGUGAGGGAAAGGUGAAAAGAACCCCGGGAGGGGAGUGAAAUAGAACCUGAAACCCUGCACUUACAAGCUGUGGGAGCACAUUACUUGUGUGACCGCGUACUUUUUGUAGAACGGGCCAACGAGUUACGUUAAGUAGCAAGGUUAAGCACUUAAGGUGUGGAGCCGUAGCGAAAGCGAGUCUUAAAUGGGCGAUUAAGUUACUUGGCGUAGACCCGAAACCGGGCGACCUAUCCAUGAGCAGGUUGAAGCGAAAGUAAAAUUUCGUGGAGGACCGAACCCACGAGCGUUGAAAAGCUCGGGGAUGACUUGUGGAUAGCGGUGAAAUUCCAAUCGAGCCCGGAGAUAGCUGGUUCUCCCCGAAAUAGCUUUAGGGCUAGCCUCAAGCGUAGAGAAACGGAGGUAGAGCACUGAAUGUCCUAGGGGGUAUUGCACUUACCGAAGACUAUCAAACUCCGAAUGCCGUUUUCUUUUACUUGGGAGUCAGACUGUGGGUGAUAAGAUUCAUAGUCAAAAGGGCAACAGCCCAGAUCGUCAGCUAAGGUCCCUAAAUGUACGUUAAGUGGUAAAGGAUGUGGGAUUGCACAGACAACCAGGAUGUUGGCUUAGAAGCAGCCACUCAUUUAAAGAGUGCGUAAUAGCUCACUGGUCGAGUGAUCCUGCGCCGAAAAUUUCCGGGGCUAAAACGUACUACCGAAGCUACGGCAUCAUUUAUGAUGGGUAGGGGAGCUUCGUAUGCAGGCUGAAGCAUGACCGUAAGGACAUGUGGACAGUAUACGAGUGAGAAUGUUGGCAUGAGUAGCGAGACGUGGGUGAGAAUCCCACGGGCCGUAAACCCAAGGUUUCCAGGGGAAGGUUCGUCCGCCCUGGGUUAGUCGGGACCUAAGCCGAGGCCGAAAGGCGUAGGUGAUGGACAACAGGUUGAUAUUCCUGUACCGCCAAUAAGCGUUUGAGAGAUGGAGUGACACAGUAGGAUAAGCUAACCGUACUGUUGGUUAUGUACGGCUAAGCAUUGAGGCAGUCUAAAUAGGCAAAUCCGUUUAGACAAUGCUAGGAUGUGAUGGGGAAGCCCUUCGGGGCGAAGUAGCUGAUUUCACACUGUCAAGAAAAGCUUCUAUCGAGUUUAAAGGCGCCCGUACCGUAAACCGACACAGGUGGGUGAGGAGAGUAUCCUAAGGCCAGCGAGAGAACUAUUGUUAAGGAACUCGGCAAAAUGACCCCGUAACUUAGGGAGAAGGGGUGCCUGUCUAUGACAGGCCGCAGAGAAUAGGCCCAAGCGACUGUUUACCAAAAACACAGGUUUCUGCUAAGUCGCAAGACGAUGUAUAGGAGCUGACGCCUGCCCGGUGCUGGAAGGUUAAGGGGAUCUGUUAGAGCAAUCGAAGCAGUGAACUUAAGCCCCAGUAAACGGCGGCCGUAACUAUAACGGUCCUAAGGUAGCGAAAUUCCUUGUCGGGUAAG
This 1954-nucleotide ribosomal RNA is filed under the name human gut metagenome. RNAcentral describes it as "bacterial LSU rRNA". It matches the Rfam family "Bacterial large subunit ribosomal RNA", at positions 3 to 1980 of the family's 2925-position model. The record is from RNAcentral.